GAUGAACGCUAGCUACAGGCUUAACACAUGCAAGUCGAGGGGCAGCAUGAUUGAAGCUUGCUUCAAUCGAUGGCGACCGGCGCACGGGUGAGUAACACGUAUCCAACCUGCCGAUAACUCGGGGAUAGCCUUUCGAAAGAAAGAUUAAUACCCGAUAGUAUAGUAUUUCCGCAUGGUUUCACUAUUAAAGAACUUCGGUUAUCGAUGGGGAUGCGUUCCAUUAGAUAGUUGGCGGGGUAACGGCCCACCAAGUCAACGAUGGAUAGGGGUUCUGAGAGGAAGGUCCCCCACAUUGGAACUGAGACACGGUCCAAACUCCUACGGGAGGCAGCAGUGAGGAAUAUUGGUCAAUGGACGAGAGUCUGAACCAGCCAAGUAGCGUGAAGGAUGACUGCCCUAUGGGUUGUAAACUUCUUUUAUACGGGAAUAAAGUGGAGUAGGCAUACUACUUUGUAUGUACCGUAUGAAUAAGGAGCGGCUAACUCCGUG
RNAcentral lists this ribosomal RNA (489 nucleotides) under uncultured bacterium. RNAcentral describes it as "partial 16S ribosomal RNA". It matches the Rfam family "Bacterial small subunit ribosomal RNA", at positions 28 to 507 of the family's 1533-position model. The record is from RNAcentral.